UACGUAGGGUGCAAGCGUUAAUCGGAAUUACUGGGCGUAAGGCGUACGCAGGCGGCUUUGCAAGACAGAUGUGAAAUCCCCGGGCUCAACCUGGGAACUGCAUUUGUGACUGCUUGGCUAGAGUACGGUAGAGGGGGAUGGAAUUCCGCGUGUAGCAGUGAAAUGCGUAGAUAUGCGGAGGAACACCGAUGGCGAAGGCAAUCACCUGGACCUGUACUGACGCUCAUGAACAAAAGCGUGGGGAGCAAACAGG
RNAcentral lists this ribosomal RNA (253 nucleotides) under uncultured bacterium. Its description in RNAcentral is "partial 16S ribosomal RNA". It matches the Rfam family "Bacterial small subunit ribosomal RNA", at positions 524 to 776 of the family's 1533-position model. The record is from RNAcentral.